Molecule: ribosomal RNA, 374 nt
Filed under: uncultured organism
Description: bacterial SSU rRNA
Rfam family: Bacterial small subunit ribosomal RNA
Source: RNAcentral
CGGGGGGAGCAAGCGUUGUUCGGAUUUACUGGGCGUAAAGGGCGCGUAGGCGGCGCCGCAAGUCGACUGUGAAAUCUCCGGGCUUAACCCGGAAAGGUCAGCCGAUACUGCGGGGCUAGAGUGCAGAAGGGGCAACUGGAAUUCUCGGUGUAGCGGUGAAAUGCGUAGAUAUCGAGAGGAACACCUGCGGCGAAGGCGGGUUGCUGGGCUGACACUGACGCUGAUGCGCGAAAGCUAGGGGGAGCGAACGGGAUUAGAUACCCCGGUAGUCCUAGCCUUAAACGAUGAAUGCUUGGUGUCUGGGGUUUUAUAGUCCCCGGGUGCCGUCGCUAACGCUUUAAGCAUUCCGCCUGGGGAGUACGGUCGCAAGACUG